UGGGGAAUAUUGCACAAUGGGCGCAAGCCUGAUGCAGCAACGCCGCGUGAGGGACGACGGCCUUCGGGUUGUAAACCUCUUUUGGCAGGGAAGAAGCGAGAGUGACGGUACCUGCAGAAAAAGCACCGGCUAACUACGUGCCAGCAGCCGCGGUGAUACGUAGGGUGCAAGCGUUGUCCGGAAUUAUUGGGCGUAAAGAGCUCGUAGGCGGUUUGUCGCGUCUGCUGUGAAAACCCGAGGCUCAACCUCGGGCCUGCAGUGGGUACGGGCAAACUAGAGUGCGGUAGGGGAGAUUGGAAUUCCUGGUGUAGCGGUGGAAUGCGCAGAUAUCAGGAGGAACACCGAUGGCGAAGGCAGAUCUCUAGGCCGUAACUGACGCUGAGGAGCGAAAGCAUGGGGAGCGAACA
RNAcentral lists this ribosomal RNA (407 nucleotides) under uncultured bacterium. Its description in RNAcentral is "bacterial SSU rRNA". It matches the Rfam family "Bacterial small subunit ribosomal RNA", at positions 355 to 774 of the family's 1533-position model. The record is from RNAcentral.